Molecule: long non-coding RNA, 1453 nt
Organism: Oncorhynchus kisutch (coho salmon)
Lineage: Eukaryota; Metazoa; Chordata; Actinopteri; Salmoniformes; Salmonidae
Exons: 4
Source: RefSeq, a predicted model, not a curated record
AGCUACAAGCUAUUUAGUCAUUGUUAGCCACUGCUAGCGGCUUUUACCUUCUGCACAGAUACCAGCCCUGUUCUUAGCCUGGAUAAUACUCGCCAGUCUACCAGUAUCAGACUGUCUCUCCACAACAACUCCGGAUUCCUGCCGUAAUCCAUGGACCACUACUUCUGAUCUUCACAGCUAGCUUGCAGCUAGCUAGCUCACAGCUGUUUUGCACUCACCGUGGCACCCAGUACCGAAGCUAUCCCUGAGGCCCACCUCCCGGCCUACUCAGCUGUUCACCCGAACCCCACUCAUACACGGCUAGAGCCCAAUAUUCCACCGGAUCCUUGCUGUAAACUCUGGACCUUGGCACCGGUUCACCGCUGCUACCGAUUGGCUAUAGUGGCUAACGCCACUGCCACGAAGCUAGCACCAGUUAGCCGUGAGCCAGGCGCAUCUCCCGGCUAGCAAACUAAAUUCUUCAAUACCUCUUUCGCCACCUGGCUUCGAUUAUCUGUCGACACGGACCCCCGCCGCAUCACCACGACUGGUCUGCCAACAAAUACUCCAUCCGCUGUGCCUUUCAACCGGCCUCUGUCGGAGGGCUACUAACUUUAAACGCCGUGUCGCUAGCGUAGUGGCGGCGUCCCUGUUCCAUCUACUGCUGCCCUCUGGACACUAUGAUCACUUGGCUACAUAGCUGAUGCCUGCUGGACUGUCCAUUAAUCAGGCAAGGGAACCUCUUUGGUACCAACAGGCAGCAGAUCUGACAGAAACAUCUCAGCAACUCAUCAGACAAGUCCUGUCUGAGUUCUGUGCUGCAUCCAGAUUCUCCAGGACACAGGCAUAUUCCCAGAACCUGAACAUCCAAAGGGUGUUCAGAGGUGUACAUAAAAACCUCAUGGGGGAGUUUGGCUCUUGUAACACCCUGCAAGCAGCUAUUUCCUCCCAGGACCCUGCAUUUGACUGAGUAAAGUCUGGUAAGGUAAAGUCCUUGACCCAGCAGCUGGUACAGGAAUGCAAGGAGGCGUCAAGACCAGCUACUGCUGCAACAAACCCAUCAGACCAGGCUGAGACAGAGAGGGGGGCUGAGCAGAAAGCAAGAAGGAGCUUCCUUUCCUUUUCAAUGACCAAACUCGGGAUCAACUUCAAGCGUUCCAAGAGAGGAAACAAAAAGGACUGCCAUUCAGUCCAGGAACAGACUGAGAUUCCCUCUACUGAUGGACAUUGCAUAGCUCCAGUUGGAGAAGUUUCUCCCUCCAUAUCUCAGCUUGUCAAAAAACGUUCCUUGAUUGUCAGGGUCUUUUCAGCAAUGAUGAAGCCAUUCAGGCGCUUCACCAAGAAGAACCUGUAACCUGUUAUGCUGCAUGAAGAACUACUUUUGUAACAGCAAGACUUUUGACAAGAGGAAUUUCUGCAUGUCUACCCUUUCAAAGUCUAUUUGAUCAAAUAAAUGCAAAUUAUUUUACAAGAA